This 466-nucleotide ribosomal RNA is filed under the name uncultured bacterium. Its description in RNAcentral is "partial 16S ribosomal RNA". It matches the Rfam family "Bacterial small subunit ribosomal RNA", at positions 29 to 506 of the family's 1533-position model. The record is from RNAcentral.
ACGAACGCUGGCGGCGUGCUUAACACAUGCAAGUCGAACGGAAAGGCCCUGCUUUUGUGGGGUGCUCGAGUGGCGAACGGGUGAGUAACACGUGAGUAACCUGCCCUUGACUUUGGGAUAACUUCAGGAAACUGGGGCUAAUACCGGAUAGGAGCUCCUGCUGCAUGGUGGGGGUUGGAAAGUUUCGGCGGUUGGGGAUGGACUCGCGGCUUAUCAGCUUGUUGGUGGGGUAGUGGCUUACCAAGGCUUUGACGGGUAGCCGGCCUGAGAGGGUGACCGGCCACAUUGGGACUGAGAUACGGCCCAGACUCCUACGGGAGGCAGCAGUGGGGAAUAUUGCACAAUGGGCGGAAGCCUGAUGCAGCAACGCCGCGUGCGGGAUGACGGCCUUCGGGUUGUAAACCGCUUUCGCCUGUGACGAAGCGUGAGCGACGGUAAUGGGUAAAGAAGCACCGGCUAACUACGU